CGACCGGCGCACGGGUGAGUAACACGUAUGGAACCUGCCCUAUGCAGGGGGAUAAGCGGAAGAAAUUCCGUCUAACACCGCAUAACACCUUUAGGAGACAUCUUCUUGGGGUCAAAGGAGGCGACUCCGGCAUAGGAUGGCCAUGCGUCGCAUUAGCUAGUCGGCGGGGUAACGGCCCACCGAGGCGACGAUGCGUAGGGGUUCUGAGAGGAAGGUCCCCCACACUGGUACUGAGACACGGACCAGACUCCUACGGGAGGCAGCAG
This 266-nucleotide ribosomal RNA is filed under the name uncultured bacterium. RNAcentral's name for it is "partial 16S ribosomal RNA". It matches the Rfam family "Bacterial small subunit ribosomal RNA", at positions 92 to 354 of the family's 1533-position model. The record is from RNAcentral.